Molecule: long non-coding RNA, 1797 nt
Organism: Dreissena polymorpha
Lineage: Eukaryota; Metazoa; Mollusca; Bivalvia; Myida; Dreissenidae
Exons: 3
Source: RefSeq, a predicted model, not a curated record
AGUACCAUUAACAGUUUCUGAAGCAAUAGUAGUAGCAAUAGAAGUAGCAGUAGUAGCAGUUGUUGCAAUAGUAGCAGUUGUUGCUGCUGUUGUUGUUGCUGCUGUUGUUGUUGCUGCUGUUGUUGUUGCUGCUGCUGUUGUUGUUGCUGCUGUUGUUGCUGCUGCUGUUGCUGCUGUUAUUGUUGCUGCUGUUGUUGGUGGUGUUGUUGAUGCUGUAGUAAUUAAAGUAGUAGUUCUGCAGAAGUAGGAGUAGUUGUUACUUUCAAAGCAAUUUCUACAAGUUAAAAUUCCUUAACCCUGUCCAAGUGGUAUACACACUGUUUUUUCUCAAUAUCAAACUCAGCCAGUCCAGGUUGUCAAAUAACAAUCUAUCUGAUAACCCCAACGUGUGCUUUGCAUCAGAUGUUGGGUAUGUUUGCUGCAAAUCUAUUGGUUAUAAGAUAUAACAGCCUUUUCUAAUUGGCUGAAUUCAAAUACAGAAAGUUUACCUGUUAGAUUGAAACAUGAAACAUGGUGAACAAUGUACUGGUUAAACUUGUUAAAAUAAAGUUAAAGAAAUUUAACAAACAGAAGAGUUCAUGAGUUUUUCCAUUAAAAACACUUUCUUAAAAUACUUAUGUAUUUAUAUCAUUUGGAAAGUGACAUGAAAUAUUGCUAAAGAGUGAUGCAUACAGUGUUUGAGCAGUCUGUCUAGGAAUAGAACAACAACUGAAGUUGAUGGAAGAUACUGCAGAGUUUGGCAGGGAAAUAAUCUAACAGCAAAGCGGCUCUUUAAGCGCAUUUACCUAGAGGACUUACAGGGCCACAAAUUCAUGAGCACAUGUGAGCAGUAUACAAUGUACCUCAUACCAAAAAGGACCCGGAGGCAGUGACUGGUGUUCAAUAUUCUCAGAAGAAAAGGAAAAUGGCAGUGGAAGACUUGUACAAACAUUUUUAAAAACUAGCCUCUGUGUUAAGCCUGGCAGUCUGUGGCUAGUGACAUGUUUUAUUUCGGUUACUUCUUGUAUAAAAAAGACCAGUUAUUUAUUUUGUGAAUUGUAUUUUGUGUUUGUUUUUUGUCUUUAUUUAUUUGUGUUUUUUUUAAUUUAGGAAUUUGAAACUUGGAUAAUUGAAUAAAGUCCGUGUUCAACAGUACUGAGCAUAGUAUAAUAAAUAACAAAUUUACAACAGUUGUUAAUUUGUUAUGUAUUAUUAUUAACUAUGCUCAGUACUUGAAUACUGGUUGUCUGCAUGGGAAUUUGUUUUCUAGAAAGUUGGUUUCAGACUUAAAUAUUUUUGAAGUUAACCUUCGGAACUUUUCUAGAAUUGUACUGGAACACAUCAACUAGAACUGAACUUCUGUUAUCAUACUGAAAGUGUUCUAGAAUUAAUAAGGAACAGUUGUUGAACGUUAAAACUUAUGAGAAAAACUCUAGAACAAUUGUGCGUGAUGUGUGUGUGCAUGUAAUUGUGUGUGUUUAUGAACAUAUGUUAGAAAGGAAGUAUACUUGUCAUAAGAGAAAUGUAAAAUUCUACUUCUAUGUUUUAUAUUGUGCCUUUUAUAAGUUUUUCUUUUCUCACCUGUAUAUGCGGGCAUGUUUAUGGAUGUGUUUCUGAAUGUGUGCAUGCAUGCCUGUGGUUAAGAGAGUUGGUACUUUAUGAAAAUGUAAAACCACUCAUUUUUGAAUAUGUACUGUGACUGCAUGUGUGUGGUUAAUGAUUGAUGCCAGAUCUUGUUCUUGUUUAACUUCUAUGAUGAAACUUUUAGUUACAUUCACAUUUGUUUUUCAAAAUCGAUAAAAUGCCUUUGAUCUAUAA